This 833-nucleotide non-coding RNA is filed under the name Microlophus thoracicus. RNAcentral's name for it is "partial 12S ribosomal RNA". It matches the Rfam family "Bacterial small subunit ribosomal RNA". The record is from RNAcentral. Lineage: Eukaryota; Metazoa; Chordata; Lepidosauria; Squamata; Tropiduridae.
CUUGCCGUUGUUUUUGAUUAAAAUUACACAUGCAAGUAUCCGCACACCCGUGAAAAUGCCCUAAACAAAACGGAGCGGGCAUCAGGCACGAACCCUUCAGCCCAAAACGCCUUGCUACGCCACACCCCCACGGGACAUCAGCAGUGACAAAUAUUAAGCCAUGAGCGAUAAACGACACACUUUAAAGCUUGACUUAGUUAUAAUCAUACCAGGGCCGGCCAAUCUCGUGCCAGCCGCCGCGGUUAUACGAAAGGCCCGAAACAACGACAAAACGGCGUAAAUUGUGGCUAGAAUCAUUACAGCUUAAAACUAAGAAAUAAACCUCUACCUUACCGUAAAACCCAGGUGGCAUGAAACUUCUUACCAAAAGCAAUUUGAACCCACGAAAACUAAGAAACAAACUAGGAUUAGAUACCCUACUAUGCUUAGAUGUAAAUAAGACGACAACCAACGACUAAACGUCCGCCAGAGAACUACAAGCGAAAAGCUUAAAACUCAAAAGACUUGACGGUGUCCCACACCCGACUUAGAGGAGCCUGUCCUAUAAUCGAUAACCCACGAUAGACCCCACCACCUUUUGCCAAAUCCGCCUAUAUACCGCCGUCGCAAAUCUACCUUUCAAAAGAACAACAGUAGGUACAACAGUAAUAACACUAAAACGUCAGGUCAAGGUGUAGCUAACAAGGUGGAAGAGAUGGGCUACAUUCUUUACUUCUAUAAAGCACACAGAAAAAACCUUGAAACAGGUUUCAAAAGGAGGAUUUAACAGUAAAACUGGCAAGAAAGCCAACUUUAAACCCGCUCUGGGACGCGUACACACCGCCCGUCACCCU